AUCGUGGUGGAGAUCGAUGUGGCGGAGAUCCGAAAGGGACCCGAUUUUCUUUGGAAGCUUCUCCAGCAUCUUACAGUUUCUCAGGCCCAGGGUCUGCAGGUUGUACAGAUUGGAGAUAGAUUCUGGAAGCUUUCUGAUCUUUGGGCUGGAGAUGUUAAGGUAUCGCAGGUGUAUCAGCUUCCCGACCGAUUUGUCCAGCGAUUCAAUCUCCAGGCAUCCCAGAUCCAACGCCCUAAGGCGCCUCAGCUUGUCCGCCAUGUCCAGUGGAAUCUGAAGGCUAUGUGGGGACCCGAGAAGCAACAGAGUAUACAAGCCGCUGCACGCGUAGAAUGAUUCGAUGAUCUUCUUUGGCCGAUCGUUCACUGAAGACGACCGCGUUCCUGCUGUCAGGUGGGCCUGAUCGAACACGAGAGUCGCGUAGCGAGGAGUGGAGGGGGGCUUGAACUCCUCAUUGCACGCGGCGAGACAGCUCUCAUCGGCACAGAUGUACUGCGCCAUCUGCGGGACGAGGCUGGGCAUCACGUACCUCGUCGAGCUGCCGUCCUCCACUCGCCUGAAGAACAUCCUGUCCAGCAGAGAAUCGAUGUAUUCGCCGCCGAGCUCCUCCGGCCGCCGGUUUUCCGAGUAAAGAAAUCCUUGCGCCAUCCACAGCCGAAUCAAGACGUCCUUUUCAAACUGGUGAUCCGGGGGAAAGCUCCCGCAAAAUCUAGCGCACAGCUUCAGAGGGGCCGGCCACUGGACGUACGUCGACACAAGAGGCUUCAACAUGCGCUGCUGGAGAUCGGGCAUGAGCGCGCGUAUCUCGACCUUAUGCGCGUGGUCCCAUGCGCCCCUAUCAGCGAGGCGCAAGUGUCUUCCCAGUGCUAUCGUAGCCUCCGGCCAGCCGCGACAUUUCCGCGCGAUCUCCUUGCCGGCCGAGACCAGGUGUGCUUCCGGGGAAUCAUCCUGGAAGGCGUGGUGGCGGAAGAGGAACCAGCAGUCCUCGUCGGAGAGAUGGGUCAGGACGAUGGGUUCUCCCACGGUGCUGAUACUCCUGGCGACGGUCGGAUUCCUGGUGGUGACCAGGAUUCUGCUUCCCGGUCCCCCGCCGAGGAGGGCCUUCUGGAGCUCGACCCAGUCCUUGUGGAUCUCAGCACAGUCGUCCGAGAGCUCGUUCCACAGGUUGUCCAGAACCAGAAGGUACCUCUUUCCCCUGAGACUCUCUGAGAUUAUGCUCUGCAUCCUAUUCAGGUCCGUGAAAUUGGUCGGCUGAUCCAUGCAUUCAAUAAUCAGUUUGAUCAGCUGGGUCACGUUCGAUCCGGGGGGGACGUACACCCACAUCUUCUGUUCGAAAUACGGGGAGAUGCGGUCGUGGUUGUAGACGACCUGGGCGACGGUGGUCUUGCCGAUCCCUCCGAACCCCAUUAUGGGAAUUGUUGGGACGCCCUUAGCGGCGUCAUCACCUUUGAAUAGCAGAUUUACCAUUCUUCCGACGACGGAGUCCCUGCCGAAGAUGGGGCUUUCGACGGACAAGUUCCCCGUGGUCGGUCUAGCAUGGAUCCGAUCCUUUUUUUUUCCAGCACCAGGCCGGUCAAUCGGGCCGAGGAGGUUAUUGUUGAUGAUUUGACGAAGAUUUGAAUUGAUCUGUGCGACGCCGGCUCCUAUCUGACGCAUAAAUUUUUGGCGACUGCGGCUCAUAUGGCGGAUGCUAUCGCGUACCUCGGGAAAAAGGAGACGUUCUCGUCGGAAGGCCUCCGUGCUGAUCUCGUCCAGGAUGUCGUUCGCGUCGUACGCUACCCGGCGGAGGUCCCGCUCCAAGCUCGUCACCUUGUCCACCCGCUCCGUGUCCUCCUCUUCUCUAGCGAGGAUCUCCAGGACAUGCUUCAGGGACGUCUCCAUCGUCUCCAGAGCGGUCUUCAAUUCUUUUUCUUCUCUCAGUUUCGACAGCAGUAUGUUGUAGAGGUUCUGCAGGAGAACCUGCAUAAGGGCCGCCAGGAAAACCUCGCCGACGAACACCAUGAUGGUGGCGGGGCGGUGAGACGGAGAUUGAAGGGGAAAUCGCAGCAGAAAACGCGAUUCGAGGAUCCCACCGAGCCGAAGCGGCCCAACGAAUCCAAUUGCAAGGAAGAUCCCACCGACCCGGAGGGAACGCAAGAUACCCAGCUGAGGCUCCGGCGGCGCUUGAAGAUGACGACGACACGGCUAGAAAUAAUGACGCUGGGUUCUUUCGACGAGCCUUCUCCGGGUUCUUCCCACUCCCUUCCUCCACUUGACCAGGUCCCGUGACUGGCAACAUUUCCUUGCUUCUUCCCACGAAAGAACAAAAAGCCAGCGAGGCUGAAGGCGGAUGAGGGUAGACAAAAGGCCACGAAUUUUUAGGAUGGCGCUCGAGCAUGAAUUGAUAGAAGAUUAAACAUUAGCCAAGUCCUGCGGCUACCAAUCUCCCACAUCUCCGCUUUCAUGAUAUACAACGCUCUGGACCAACCGGGUAGGCGAGCGGUUCCAAGAAGAACAGCGGCAGAUGAACAUUCAGGGCUUGGCUCAGAUUCCUUGCAUAUUUUUCUCAUCUUCCUUCCUCCAAACAAGUGUAAGAGAACUCUCCGUCCCUCACACUCCCAAACCAUAAAUAACUCAACGUCCGAUCUGGUAAGUCGACUGCCUCACAAAGAUGGCUCCCAAACUUAUGGGAAAGUCAACGAGCAGAGCACCUCUUUCAGAGGAUAGUUCAGGGAUAACAGCUUGUUGGAGGGCAGUGAUGGAUGGAGCAUUACUACUCUUCAUGGAGUCAAUCUGUUAGCAUGCUAUGUUUCAUGAGUUCAAAUCAGUGGGUUCAUCUGAUAUUGUCAAUCUCGAACUGGAAAUUUAGAUGGUGACAUAUUAGCUGAUUACGUAAAGAAACAAUUAACUCAACAUUUGAAUAUAAAGAUAGUGUUAAUAGGAAAGUUAUUUGUCUAAAGAAAAAUCUUCAUUUCAAAUGAACAGAUCAGGGAAUAAAAAGUUUUCGAAUUCACAAUGGCCAGAGGUUAUUGUCACAUGUUCUAAAAAAUAGUAAGUAUUUGAACUGACUUUAUAUUUUAUCUCUUGAGAAAAACAUGGGAAUUGAUUGGAGAACAAUGCAUUAUAAGUAAAGGAAGCUAGAGAGAUUAACAAUAAUGAUACUACUUUGAUUUACCACAAGAAAUCUGUCUCACAAUCAAAAAAUAUUAUCAUAGAACUUCAACUGCAUGUGGACUACACCAUCUUUCUUCAUUAACAAUUAAUGCUUAAGAAAAAACUUGAAUCUUUUAAGGAGGUCUCCAUCAGGUCAUAAGGUAACUGGAUAGUGAAGGGAGAGUGGUUUUGGACAAAGGCACAAGGUGUUCUAAGCCUCAUUUGGCCCAGAAGGGACUAGAUCUUUACGGAAGUUGAACUUGAGGUAUUAGGCUAUUGAUCUUCUUAAUUUUAGUAUAUAUUUCUAAGAGAAAUAGUUGAAAACUAGUAGGAAAAAACCUCUGAGGCUAAAAGUAGUUAAGUGAGGGGUGAACUAGUAUAAAAAGCCUUUGUCUCAUUAGUGAGGGAGAGAAACUUAUGAGAGAACUUAUUAGAGGAGAGAGAAAGCAAGCCUACAUGUAAGUAAUCACAUAAAACUAUGUUAGCACGUGUGUUGACACAUCCAUUAUCCAUAAAGAAAAUCUAAGAUUUUUGAGACACCAAUUAACCCCCCCCUCUUGGUAUUUUGUCUAACCCUUAGAUCUUUCAAAUUUUAGUUUUGGAUUUGAGCCACACACAUAGCAACAUCUUCAUAGCCAACUAUGAGCUAGGGCUAAUAUUUGAUCAAAAUUAGGAACUCUAGCAUUAAGUUUAGUCAACUCUUUGGGAGAUGACAUUCAUUUGAGUGAAGGAACACAUAUUGUAUAUGGAAGAUUUCUAGUUCAAAAUCCCGUUGUUGGACUAAUAUCAAUCUCUCAUCUAUUUUAGACCCAACAAUAGCAAUAACUUGAUCCAAUGCACCUCAAUGUGUCCUCUUGAAAUAAAGAAAUCUAAUGGCUCUUGCUCCAUAGAUCCAAGGAUUAAUAGAGCAUCACAUCAUAGGACCUAUAGACCCACUUGCUGUCACACAUAUCUUGGGCCAUAAAAGUAGAACAAUUUGAUGUAUUAAGAGGAGACACAUCACUAGCCAUUAUUGCACGUGGCAUCAAAUGCAUGGAUCCUAAUAAAAAUGCCAUGCCAACAGGAACAAAGGCAAUGGCUUCAUUGGAUGGCAAAUGUGCAGCCACGUCAUCCUUUCUCUUGGUAGAUCGGUGACAUACGUAUAUGAGGAUUUCAACAUGCCACGCAACAAGGGCAUGCACAUAAAUAUCAAUUAUCAUAUAAUAAGCCAAAUAUAUCAAUUAUUGUAGCACACAUGAGGCUGGGCAUAACUACAAAUAUUGAUUAUCAUUUGGUAAAAAAGAUGAUACUGAAUAUUGCCAUAGUGAGAAUGAGAGAAAAUCUAAAACAAUCAAGAAAAAUCAGAAAAAAUGUGGUAGAAAUAGUAAGACAAAACAAAAAACAUGAUUUGUGGAGUUAGAAAAUAAAAAGAAAGGAAGAGGGAGAAAGAGAAAAGCUUUUUCAUAGUUUUUAUUUUCGUGCUCUAGGAAAAAAUGAUGUCUUUUCUCCUUUGAGGAAAGAACAAACUUUGGAUUGUAACCUUGAUUUUAAUUAUUUUCCUCCACUCUUUUUCCCUCAAAUCCAUUUCCUUGAACUAGUUGCAAGGUUGAAAAGUGCAACCUAGAGGUAAACAUGAUGUUAUGUACUCUACAAGGCUGUAAGUUUGAUGUUUAAUAUAGUUUUUGAUUUAUUCUUCUUUUAAUCUCAUAGUAUAUUUAUUUUUUGAUUUUUCCUUUAUUUACAUGCCUUUCUUUUGUUCUUAAUAUCUUAAAUCAUAUUUUCUUCUUUGUUUUGAUUUAUUUCACGUUUUAAUUUCGAUUCUAUGUUUAUUGAUUGUUUAUUUCCCUUGAUCAUUUCAUAUAAUGUUUCAUUUCUUAAAAUUUGUAGUCAUUUAUAUUAGAUUUUAUUCAAUAACAGCACAACAUUUACUUAUUUUAUUAUCAUGUGGUUUGCAGUAUUAUUUGUUUCUAUUUAUAUUUAAAUAGUUCCUUUGAUAAAUUACUCCAAAUUCAUAAAAUUAAGGAUAUAAUUAGAUUGUGUUUUAAGGAGAUGAAAAGAGUCUUCAAUGACUUCCCUGAGGAGACCACCUAGCUCACCAUUAUAUAUAUAUAUAUAUAUAUAUAUUUAAAAUCAAUUUAUUUUAGUUAGCUUAGUUCUAGAAAUAUUUACAAUUGAUUGAUGAUCUUAAUGAUGACUUAGGAUCACAUCAAUUUUUGGAACGGAAAAUAUUUCUAGUAUGAGAAACCCACUUGUGAAUAGUUGACUUAACGUUGGCCGUCGACUAGGUUGUGGACCGGUGACCAGCUGAACUGGAUGAACAGGUGGACUGACUCAAACCAGCAGCUAGGGCGGCCCUGCGGUCCAAAUGGCUCCGGACUGGCGGAACGAGUUGGCUCGGCCAAGGGCUCUAGCCGGUUUUGGGCAGGACAGAUGUGGUUCGGUCCAGCUGUUCGUGAUACCACAAGCCGGGUCUUUAAACCCUAACCGGCGAACGGGUCGUGCGGGCAGAGAAAGCGAAAGCGGCGGAUGCGGCGGAAUGGACGGAGGGUGGAACGGGCGGAGGCAGGAAUGGCCGCAGCGGCAGCAGGUUGUGAUGGCGGACGGUGGCGGCGGAUGUGGGCGGUGAGAGUAAUGGAUGUGGGCGGAUGUGCUGGUGAGAUGGAUGAGCCAGCCCACUUCUUUGAUCCCCAUCACAACCUACCCUCGUCUUUGAUCUCCUCAAUUAUCGCCAUGCAACACGAAGACUCGUCUGGAUCCUGUCUGAUAAAAAUCAUCGAUUCCGCAUGGAUUUGGCGGCAGCCUCAGGGCUUUCGAACAGAUGCAUGACCACGGAUAUGACAUAACAUUUAAGCAUGACGUAGAAUUGAAAGGAACACGAUCAGAAAAGAAAAGAAAUUGACGAAGUAAGAGAAUUCGAGAUCAAGCUUAACUGAAGCACACUCGUGCCUGGGGAGGAAGAGAGUGGCAGGCAACGAGCUGAGGGCAGUCCUUGAUGACGAGUUCAGUGAGGGAGGAGAAGGUACAUCCUCUCUCGCCGUACCAGCCCUUCCAGUUUGGCAUGUUCUCGAAGCUUAGCCUCUUCAAGGAGGGAAAGCCGUUGCUCCCCCCGCAGAAGUCGCAGUCGACAUACUCCACAGCGCCCAUUCCUUUGAUAGAAAGAUCUUCCAGCGCUGGGAGCACGCCAACGGGUGGAAGCUUUUCGCACGCCCUGCAAUUGGAGAGCCUGAGCUUCACCAGCUUUGAGAAAGCUGCGGCGCCAAUCCAGGUCGGGAAAGAGCGGCCACCGUAACCCACUACCCAGAGCUCUUUGAUACCAUUCGGCGCUCGAAGCUUUUCAAGCACCAUCUCCUGCAUCGAGUGUGAGCCCAGGAAAGAUCGUUUGUCGCCCCACUGCAGCUCUAAUCUUGUAAUGUGAGUCUUCAUGGGCAAAUUUGCUUCAGUCGCUUCCUUAGAAAUGUUUUGGAGAUUUAGCAGGCGGAGAUCUCCUCGAAUGUCGUUCAUUUCGCCCAGUUCCUGAAUUCCUGCAUGAAUAAGUCCCGUCGAAACAGGAAAAAUGGACAAUGUCUGCAGGCUCAGCUUGCCGACGUCCUUCGGCAUGGAGCUCAGCGAGCACGGAGCUUCCUCCUGAAAGUCCUCAUCGUGGUGGAGAUCGAUGUGGCGGAGAUCCGAAAGGGACCCGAUGUUCUUUGGAAGCUUCUCCAGCAUCUUACAGUUUCUCAGGCCCAGGGUCUGCAGGUUGUACAGAUUGGAGAUAGAUUCUGGAAGCUUUCUGAUCUUUGGGCUGGAGAUGUUAAGGUAUCGCAGGUGUAUCAGCUUCCCGACCGAUUCGUCCAGCGAUUCAAUCUCCAGGCAUC
RNAcentral lists this long non-coding RNA (6962 nucleotides) under Spirodela polyrhiza (greater duckweed). Its description in RNAcentral is "long non-coding RNA (SPOL_LNC001861)". The record is from RNAcentral. Lineage: Eukaryota; Viridiplantae; Streptophyta; Magnoliopsida; Alismatales; Araceae.